RNAcentral lists this ribosomal RNA (247 nucleotides) under uncultured Anoxybacillus sp. RNAcentral's name for it is "partial 16S ribosomal RNA". It matches the Rfam family "Bacterial small subunit ribosomal RNA", at positions 1133 to 1382 of the family's 1533-position model. The record is from RNAcentral. Lineage: Bacteria; Bacillati; Bacillota; Bacilli; Caryophanales; Anoxybacillaceae.
GGGCACUCAAGGUGACUGCCGGCUAAAAGUCGGAGGAAGGUGGGGAUGACGUCAAAUCAUCAUGCCCUUAUGACCUGGGCUACACACGUGCUACAAUGGGCGGUACAAAGGGUCGCGAACCCGCGAGGGGAGCCAAUCCCAAAAAGCCGCUCUCAGUUCGGAUUGCAGGCUGCAACUCGCCUGCAUGAAGCCGGAAUCGCUAGUAAUCGCGGAUCAGCAUGCCGCGGUGAAUACGUUCCCGGGCCUU